RNAcentral lists this long non-coding RNA (6860 nucleotides) under Sorghum bicolor (sorghum). RNAcentral describes it as "long non-coding RNA (SBIC_LNC014520)". The stretch from base 4744 to 4850 matches the Rfam family "Plant small nucleolar RNA R71". The record is from RNAcentral. Lineage: Eukaryota; Viridiplantae; Streptophyta; Magnoliopsida; Poales; Poaceae.
GUCUAAUUGUUGUGGUGGCUCUAAUCUUGAUCAGAGGCUUCUUCUCCCUUGGUGGAACAAUGAAUUAGGGUUGAGAGGCUCUCUCCUCCAGGGGCCAGGGGGUCUGGUUUUAUAGUCCCUUCAAGUGAAUAUGGGCCCUUGGAUCAAACCGACAUAGAUUGUAUGGUUUAGAUUCAUCCUUUAGGUUGGUGGAGAUCUCCCGCAAAGCAGAGUCCUGAUUGGACUCAGGGGCAGGGUGGGCGCCCUGACCAACUGGGCGGCCGCCCAGGGUCUGGCCCCGUUUCGCCUCCGCUUCGGUCUCGUGGCUUCUGGAGUCUUCUAGAUGUAAGAUAAUUGCGCAGCACGUUAAUAUCUUUACGUAAUCCUGACAUGUGGGCCUUUCUUCCAUAUUUCCUGAUAACCCUCUGCAGAAAUAGACAAACACCAAAACUCGUGGAAUUCUGUCAGAUAAAACCCUAAGUCUAGAUGUUGAUUUCAUUUGGGUCCUUUUCUUUAUUUAUUUGAUAAUUAAAUUUGAUACUUAAGGACCGUCAACAAACUCCCCCAAGCUUACCUCUUGCUCGUCCCUGAGCAAAGAUAGACUCAGCUAUGGAUCAUAAGUUGUUGCAAUAUAUAUAUAUAUAUAUAUAUAUAUUUUAAAAAAAAAUUGACGGUACACAUGCUUUUUAAAUAAGAUCUCAUCUCUGAGUAAGAGUAAACUGUCAAGACUUAAAACUUACUUACUUUACCUUUACCAUGGGACUUGUAACUGUCACUUCUGUCUUGAGUGGUUAAAAGAUAGAACAGUCUAGCCAAGUGCCAUGUCUCUUAUUCUUGAUCAGCUAUAGCUCUGGGGUUUUUGCAGAUUUUCAAAUAAAACUCAGAAAUUCCUUGUAUGAUUCUCUCAGGUCUCUCUUUUGUGGUAUUUUUGGAUCCUUACCAAGGCAUUGAUGGUAUAUGCCUUCUCUCAAGAUAUGUAGUAUUUGUGGUAUAAGGCAUAGUGACAUUGCCUUCUCUCUCACCCUACUCUAAUAAGGCUUUAAUAUCUGGAGCUCAUAGGUGGGAGAUAAAAUAUACAUACUUACAAGACAUUUAUUGCAUAGUCAAACCAUGGAUCCAAAGUAACAAGCCAAUAAGUUUAAUCAAGAUGUGCAUGGGUGGCGAAUGAAUGGUGUAUGGUGGUGAUGGUGAUAACAAUGGUGAAAACAAUGGUGGUGGAAGUCUAAUUCUACUUUGCUCUUUGAGGGGAUACAUACCUUCCUUGCUAUUGAAACUUUAUGAGGAGAAUGAGAUGCUCUUUUUUUUUUUUCAGGUGGGUAUCUUGCACCCCUAAUUCUAAUGUCGGACACUUGUCCAUUUUUACCUCUCGUCUCACUUUUUCUUUUCUUUCGAGGUUCCGAGCACUUGCUCCUUUUUAUUUCCUCGUAUAUUUUUUUUAGAGCACUCAUCUCUUGAGAUAAUAUAGCAAGUGGUAGUAACAAGAUAACUUGAGCAUUUAUUUCGCAAGGGGAAAAUAGAAAUAUUUUUGGUUAUUCUCUCCCGGAUUAGGAGUAGAAUAUUUUUGGGUGAUUCUGGAGAUGGAAUGGGUGGAUAUAUGUGGAUGGUACUUCUGGAGUAGAAGCAGCAUAUAUGAGUGAACGUGCAAGUGAAUCUUGAUUUAACCACAUGACAGGCUCCUAAGGGUCUACACAGCUUGACCACACUCAAUGCUCAUAAGCAGUAAAUAUUAAAUGUGUGGCUCAAAGUCUAGCAAGCAUGUAUAUAUGGCUGUGCUAGGAAUUUAAACUCUCAUCAUACAGGAACUCAUCAUGCAACAUUUUAAAGAUUUUCAAAGAUAAAAUUCUCUAGAAUUCUAGCAUCUCUAGGAACAGAUAAACAGCAGCUCAACCUUCCCAUAUCAUAUCCGUUAACAACUUAGACUUCAGAUCAAGUUUUCAUCUCACAAGUUUAGGUCUAGAGCAAGCUUUAAAUUAUAACAGUUAUAUCUAAACUUGAGAGAGAACUUAAAAUUUGCAAAUUAGGCAGAGCAACUAUUUAUCAUAUCCAUGCUUAAGUUUUAUUUAGAUACAGAUUAGCAUAGCCACUUUAUUUAUUUAUUAAACACACUAAGCAAAAGACAUAUAUAAGCAUAAAAUCUUUAUUUGGUUUUCCCAUAGUUUAUGUGUAUUUUAAUAUUUUAAAAUAAUAUAAGUAUAAAGAUAGAUAGAAAUACUUAUCGUGAUAAAUGGGGGUGCUCUCCCUCAAGCUCAAUUUUGACGUAAUUUCUCUUGGUGUAGCUAGCAGGUGGUAGAGGUGUAUUUGAAAGUCAGCAACAUUCUGACAGCGAUUAGAAUGUCCUCCGUCUGCUAGUCUUCUUGAUUCUUAAAUUUCAGUGGAGCUCAAAUAGACAACAAAGCUUGUGGAACUGAUUAAGUGUUAGCAUAAAUAUCUAGCCUUUAUUAUCUUGACACUCCUUAAUAAAUGUUACUCCCUGUUUUUAUAUUUUUGUUUUAUAAAGCAGAAAAAUAUUUAUUUUAUUUUUAUGCCACCACAGUGAAUGUACUUAUGGGUUUUAUGCCACUCGUCUACUCACAUGGGGCUUACUGUUUUUUCACAUUUUUAUUUUCUUUUUAAGAUAGUGUGAAUAUGAUUAACUAUGUAAACUAUUUGAAAUAACUGAAAGGGAAAGGAUAACUACCAAGUUUACCUCUUGGCAAGGCGUUCGGUGUUUUUAAGUCCUCCGAACGGGACUCUCCAAUUUCUUAAUUGUCAUGAGGUUCGUUGGGUGGCGUAGUCGGUACUUCCGGCAGCGCCUCCUCUUCUUGUAUAGUUAUCUUCAUUUUCCAUACCUGACUCGGUGCUUCAAUCUCCUCUGGAUAAUUCUGUUUAAACUCUACGUCUUCUGACCUUACAACUUCUCCUUCAUAGUCUGCCCAUCCGUCCUUGAUGAUCUGCCUCCUCUGGUUGCGGUUGCGUCUUUUUCUGACCUACUUAGAUUCUUCAAUGAUAUAGUCAGGGUCAAUAAAAUAACGGCGUACCUUCUCUGAGGGGAAGUGCAUAUGGACUUCUCCGGUUCCAAUGUAGAUAAUUGCUUUAAUGGUGCUGAGGAAGGGUCUUCCAAGGAUGAUGGGUGGAUCAUACUCAUCUUCUCCCAUGUCAACAACUUGAAAGUCUGUGUUGACAAAGUGAUCGUCUAUUUUGACUGGGACAUCAGAUACUAUUCCUUUAACUUCUCGAAAUGUCUGAUCUGCCAUCUGGAGCUGAAUGUAUGUUGGUCUUAGUGGCAUGGUCCCGAACAAGAGCCGAUAAGUGACUGCGGCCAUUAUGUUGACGCCCGAUCCGGUGUCGCAAAUCGUCUUGUAGAAGUUGUAUCCAUUUAUGGAGCAGUAGAUGCUUGGCAUUCCUGGGUCGUCCUUCUUGGUCAAAAAUGGUGACUUAAGUUGAUGAUCUUGGCCUCCAUGGACUACAGUGACCAUCUUAGCUGACUCGGUCCACACUUGCUUGUUCCUGUUUCUCCUGUUGGUACUCUUCCUUGAUUCACGUCUGGAUUCAUCUUGAAUUUGUAUAGUCUUGUUCUUGAAGAAAAAUGUCUCCUUCUCCCCUUUGACAUAGAAACUGAUCUUGGCAGCACUAGCGUAGAUGAUAGCUCCCGUGGUGUUCAAGAAUGGCCUCCCUAGGAUGAUAGGUGCUCUCUCAUCAUUUCCGGUCUCUACCACUACGAAGUCUGCUGGGGCAUACAAGGUACCAACUCGGACACAAAGGUUCCUCACUAUUCCGUUUGGGAAAGUUAUCGUCUGAUCUGCAAACUGCAAACACAUGGUUGUCUCUAAUAAAGGAUAUGUAAAGAAUUUCUCAUAGAGUACCCUGGGUAUAAUGUUGACACUGGAGCCAAAGUCACAGAGUGCUUCUGGGAUAUCCACCAUGCCGAUAGAGAUCGGGAUGACGGGGCGUCCUGGAUCGCCUCUCUUGACCGGCAGAAGGUCAGUAGAAAAUUCAGUGACGGGGUUACUCCAAUUACCUGCAUCAAACAUGUCUACAAGAUUUGCAGAUUCUAAUCCUUCUGGUUGUGAUGGUAUACCGGGGUUAGUAGUAGGAACAGCAGCAGCUAUUUGAUUUAAUUGGGAUUCAAUCAUUUUAUUAAAGCUAAUUUGAUUCUUGAUGGCAGUAGAGAAAUUAUCCAUUCUAUUAUUUAUAUUUUCUAGCAUUUUAUCAUUAGAUGCCAAUUUCUUAGAUAGGUUAUCCAUUAGCUUUCCUUGAUUAGAUACUAACUCUCUCAAAGGUGGAAAAUUAUUAUUAUUGUUGUAAGAAUUGUUACCUUCAUAAUUACCUGAGUAGUUAGGCCUCUGUUGAUUCCAACCUUGAUUUUGUUGAGGACGGUUGUAGUAGUAGUAGUUGUUGUUGUUGAUGUAGUUCACAUCCUCAAGCAUCUCAGGGCAGUGAUUGCCUGAGUGUCCAGUGUCUCCACACUCCUCACAAGUCAUGUGAGAGUCGUAGAUGUGCAUAACUUCUUUCUUGUCUCCAGCUCUAUCGUCGAGCUUCUUCAUGAACAGGUCUAGCUUUGCAGACAGCAUGUCUACCUCCUUCAGCUGAUGCAUACCUCCACCUCUCUUGCGUGUCUGGGUCCUCUCUUCAUUCCAGCUUUGGUUGGACGCCAUCUUCUCCACAAGAGCUGUGGCUUGUGGUAUAGUAAGUGAUAAGAAUGCUCCUCCAGCUGCAGCAUCCAUGGUCUCUCGGGCACUGUUGCCGAGCCCAUGAUAAAAUGUCUGCAUCAAUAGCCAACUCUCCAUUCCAUGAUGGGGACAUUCUAGGAUGUAGUCUUGAAAGCGCUCCCAUGCUUCUGGAAUAGAUUCAUCAUUUUGUUGCUGAAAACUUGUAAUCUUCCCACGGAGAGCAUUGGUCUUGCCCAUGGGAAAGAACUUAGCCAGGAAGUUUGUUGAGCAGAGUGCCCACGUAGUAUUCUUCUCCUUUGUAGCGUAGAACCACUGCUUCGCUCUUCCUAACAGUGAGAAUGGGAAGAGGCGAAGUAGUAUAGCAUCUUUGGAAACUCCUUGUAUGGUGAAUGUGUUGCAAAUCUCCAGGAAGUGUUAUAAAUGAGCACUAGCAUCUUCGUGUGCCUUCCCACAGAACUGGUUGGAUUGCACCAUGUUGAUAAGUCCAGGCUUGAGCUCAAAGUUGCCAUCGAUCUCUGCAGCAGGUCCAGUGCGGAUGUUGUCCGUAAUGGGAGGUGAGAACUCGCGGAUCGAUUUGUUCGCCAUGGCUUCGAACUCUGAAGACAAGUUCCGGUGAUCUUCUUGAUUGGAUGAAGCUUCUUGCUGAAGUGUUGAUGAUUUCUUUAGCUUGGCUCUCGUCUUCUUGAAUAAUGCUUUGGGAUUGUCAACAAAAUUUCCUGGAAGAUGUCUUCUAUUCAUACAUUCCCCUGCAUAAGAUAAAAUAGAAAAAUAUCGGGGUAAAACUGUAUGAGAGAAUAGAUAAGCUCAAUCAUAUUAGUGAUGCGAAUGAUAACUCAAAAUCUUUUAUUCCAUUCCUGAUUAGUAAUCAACCUUCCCUGGCAACGGCGCCAAAAAUGCUUGUUGGGUAUUCUUAACAUCAUUACUAAAAGUAGACUAAGUUCUAAAUCUAGCAACGGUGCCAAAAGUGCCAAACCUAUCCCUCACACCACUUAAGCCAAGUUGUCAUCCCUAGCAUGACAUGAGAGACGCGGUAUUGAAAUAUGCAAUUGCUCUUCUAAAUAAAUAAUGAAUGGGAUCUGCAAGCGCACAGAUUAAUACCGAUGCAGCAUUUUAACCGGGAAGUAUUCCAGGUAUCGUUAUUUAUAUUUUUACCACUGGGAAGGGAUUAGCAAUCAUCAAUAUUGAUUACAGAAUAGAAUAUGAGAUUGAGCAUCUAUCAUUGCAUGUAUAAUUGAGAACAUUAUAUCUAACUCUUCAUACAGGGAUAAGUGUCACAUAAAGGAUAUAUGAAAUAAUAAUAGUGACAAAGAUAACUAAUCUGAUCUAGCCACAUAAUAAAUAUGAUAAGCACCUCAAUUAGAUACUCUAGAAAGUCAUUAGCAUGGUAUUAGAACGAACUACAAGAAUAUUCCCUAAGUUAUUCUCAACUAUAUAGUCUAGCAUUAUCAUAGUUAGUGCAAGCAUACUUAGCAAUCAUUGUGAGAUAAGACUACGCCCAUGCAUAGUGAUAUUAGCAAGGAAUAUGAGAAACAUAGCAAUCACUCCCCUGUAAUAAUGUUGCUCUGCCAGCCCAGUACAUGAGAGGGGGACUAUAUAAGAAUCAAUGAAGCUGUCACUAUCACGAACCACCCCACGAUCUGGCAUAUUGGGUACAAUUGCAGAUAAAUACGGUAUAAGCACCACGCCUACACAAUAUCUAUCAUUUACCCAUGGAUCCGAUGGAUAAACGCUAUACGAUCCUAAGCAUGUAUAUAGAUCGUAUCUAACUAAGCCAAGUACAUAACUAUGAUAAACUAAGAACAAUAUAAUCUUGAAUAUAAGCAAGUAGAGCAAAGUCAUAAGCAAUAUAUUGAAGUAGAACAAUGUCAUAUUCAUAGUAUUGAAGAACAAAGAUAAUUAGAAAGCAAUUAGAAGCACAAUUAGAGAAUUACCAAGAAUCCUCCUGACAGAUCCGGAAACCAAUCGAAGAUUGACUCCUUCUAGUUCUAAUCCUAUGUAGCUAUGCUAAUCUAGAUGUCUAAUUGAUGUGGUGGCUCUAAUCUUGAUCAGAGGCUUCUUCUCCCUUGAUGGAACAAUGAAUUAGGGUUGAGAGGCUCUCUCCUCCAGGGGCCAGGGGGUCUAGUUUUAUAGUCCCUUCAAGUGAAUAUGGGCCCUUGGAUCAAACCGACAUAGAUUGUAUGGUUUAGAUUCAUCCUUUAGGUCGGUGGAGAUCUCCCGCAAAGCAGAGUCCUG